This 2920-nucleotide ribosomal RNA is filed under the name Staphylococcus sp. MZ8. RNAcentral describes it as "23S ribosomal RNA". It matches the Rfam family "Bacterial large subunit ribosomal RNA". Lineage: Bacteria; Bacillati; Bacillota; Bacilli; Caryophanales; Staphylococcaceae. The record is from RNAcentral.
GAUUAAGUUAUUAAGGGCGCACGGUGGAUGCCUUGGCACUAGAAGCCGAUGAAGGACGUUACUAACGACGAUAUGCUUUGGGGAGCUGUAAGUAAGCUUUGAUCCAGAGAUUUCCGAAUGGGGAAACCCAGCAUGAGUUAUGUCAUGUUAUCGAUAUGUGAAUACAUAGCAUAUCAGAAGGCACACCCGGAGAACUGAAACAUCUUAGUACCCGGAGGAAGAGAAAGAAAAUUCGAUUCCCUUAGUAGCGGCGAGCGAAACGGGAAGAGCCCAAACCAACAAGCUUGCUUGUUGGGGUUGUAGGACACUCUAUACGGAGUUACAAAGGACGACAUUAGACGAAUCAUCUGGAAAGAUGAAUCAAAGAAGGUAAUAAUCCUGUAGUCGAAAAUGUUGUCUCUCUUGAGUGGAUCCUGAGUACGACGGAGCACGUGAAAUUCCGUCGGAAUCUGGGAGGACCAUCUCCUAAGGCUAAAUACUCUCUAGUGACCGAUAGUGAACCAGUACCGUGAGGGAAAGGUGAAAAGCACCCCGGAAGGGGAGUGAAAUAGAACCUGAAACCGUGUGCUUACAAGUAGUCAGAGCCCGUUAAUGGGUGAUGGCGUGCCUUUUGUAGAAUGAACCGGCGAGUUACGAUUUGAUGCAAGGUUAAGCAGUAAAUGUGGAGCCGUAGCGAAAGCGAGUCUGAAUAGGGCGUUUAGUAUUUGGUCGUAGACCCGAAACCAGGUGAUCUACCCUUGGUCAGGUUGAAGUUCAGGUAACACUGAAUGGAGGACCGAACCGACUUACGUUGAAAAGUGAGCGGAUGAACUGAGGGUAGCGGAGAAAUUCCAAUCGAACCUGGAGAUAGCUGGUUCUCUCCGAAAUAGCUUUAGGGCUAGCCUCAAGUGAUGAUUAUUGGAGGUAGAGCACUGUUUGGACGAGGGGCCCUCUCGGGUUACCGAAUUCAGACAAACUCCGAAUGCCAAUUAAUUGAACUUGGGAGUCAGAACAUGGGUGAUAAGGUCCAUGUUCGAAAGGGAAACAGCCCAGACCACCAGCUAAGGUCCCAAAAUAUAUGUUAAGUGGAAAAGGAUGUGGCGUUGCCCAGACAACUAGGAUGUUGGCUUAGAAGCAGCCAUCAUUUAAAGAGUGCGUAAUAGCUCACUAGUCGAGUGACACUGCGCCGAAAAUGUACCGGGGCUAAACAUAUUACCGAAGCUGUGGAUUGUCCUUUGGACAAUGGUAGGAGAGCGUUCUAAGGGCGUUGAAGCAUGAUCGUAAGGACAUGUGGAGCGCUUAGAAGUGAGAAUGCCGGUGUGAGUAGCGAAAGACGGGUGAGAAUCCCGUCCACCGAUUGACUAAGGUUUCCAGAGGAAGGCUCGUCCGCUCUGGGUUAGUCGGGUCCUAAGCUGAGGCCGACAGGCGUAGGCGAUGGAUAACAGGUUGAUAUUCCUGUACCACCUAUAAUCGUUUUAAUCGAUGGGGGACGCAGUAGGAUAGGCGAAGCGUGCGAUUGGAUUGCACGUCUAAGCAGUAAGGCUGAGUAUUAGGCAAAUCCGGUACUCGUUAAGGCUGAGCUGUGAUGGGGAGAAGACAUUGUGUCUUCGAGUCGUUGAUUUCACACUGCCGAGAAAAGCCUCUAGAUAGAAAAUAGGUGCCCGUACCGCAAACCGACACAGGUAGUCAAGAUGAGAAUUCUAAGGUGAGCGAGCGAACUCUCGUUAAGGAACUCGGCAAAAUGACCCCGUAACUUCGGGAGAAGGGGUGCUCUUUAGGGUUAACGCCCAGAAGAGCCGCAGUGAAUAGGCCCAAGCGACUGUUUAUCAAAAACACAGGUCUCUGCUAAACCGUAAGGUGAUGUAUAGGGGCUGACGCCUGCCCGGUGCUGGAAGGUUAAGAGGAGUGGUUAGCUUUUGCGAAGCUACGAAUCGAAGCCCCAGUAAACGGCGGCCGUAACUAUAACGGUCCUAAGGUAGCGAAAUUCCUUGUCGGGUAAGUUCCGACCCGCACGAAAGGCGUAACGAUUUGGGCACUGUCUCAACGAGAGACUCGGUGAAAUCAUAGUACCUGUGAAGAUGCAGGUUACCCGCGACAGGACGGAAAGACCCCGUGGAGCUUUACUGUAGCCUGAUAUUGAAAUUCGGCACAGCUUGUACAGGAUAGGUAGGAGCCUUUGAAACGUGAGCGCUAGCUUACGUGGAGGCGCUGGUGGGAUACUACCCUAGCUGUGUUGGCUUUCUAACCCGCACCACUUAUCGUGGUGGGAGACAGUGUCAGGCGGGCAGUUUGACUGGGGCGGUCGCCUCCUAAAAGGUAACGGAGGCGCUCAAAGGUUCCCUCAGAAUGGUUGGAAAUCAUUCAUAGAGUGUAAAGGCAUAAGGGAGCUUGACUGCGAGACCUACAAGUCGAGCAGGGUCGAAAGACGGACUUAGUGAUCCGGUGGUUCCGCAUGGAAGGGCCAUCGCUCAACGGAUAAAAGCUACCCCGGGGAUAACAGGCUUAUCUCCCCAAGAGUUCACAUCGACGGGGAGGUUUGGCACCUCGAUGUCGGCUCAUCGCAUCCUGGGGCUGUAGUCGGUCCCAAGGGUUGGGCUGUUCGCCCAUUAAAGCGGUACGCGAGCUGGGUUCAGAACGUCGUGAGACAGUUCGGUCCCUAUCCGUCGUGGGCGUAGGAAAUUUGAGAGGAGCUGUCCUUAGUACGAGAGGACCGGGAUGGACAUACCUCUGGUGUACCAGUUGUCGUGCCAACGGCAUAGCUGGGUAGCUAUGUGUGGACGGGAUAAGUGCUGAAAGCAUCUAAGCAUGAAGCCCCCCUCAAGAUGAGAUUUCCCAACUUCGGUUAUAAGAUCCCUCAAAGAUGAUGAGGUUAAUAGGUUCGAGGUGGAAGCAUGGUGACAUGUGGAGCUGACGAAUACUAAUCGAUCGAAGACUUAAUCAA